UCAAGCUACAAAGAGCACAAGGGGAAUGCCUUGGCACCGAGAGCCGAAGAAGGACGUGACUAACUGCGAUAAGCUGCGGGGAGCCGUAAGUAGGCUUUGAUCCGCAGAUUUCCGAAUGGAGCAAUCCGGCAAGAGGAAAGUCUUGUCAUCAUAUACUGAAUACAUAGGUAUAUGAGGGGAACCGCCUGAACUGAAACAUCUAAGUAGGGCGAGGAAGAGAAAUCAACUGAGAUUCCGUAAGUAGUGGCGAGCGAACGCGGAAGAGGCCAAACCGAGAGUAGUAAUACUUUCGGGGUUCGGACAGAAUACGGUAUUGUAAAGGUUUAGUGGAAUGGAAUGGGAAGUCCAACCGAAGAAGGUGAGAGUCCUGUACACGAAAAGCCUGAACAGCCAUCUGUAUCCAGAGUACCGCCGGACACGUGAAACCCGGUGGGAAUACGGGGGGACCAUCCUCCAAGCCUAAAUACUACUCGGUGACCGAUAGUGAAGAAGUACUGUGAAGGAAAGGUGAAAAGUACCCCUGACGGGGAGUGAAAAAGAACCUGAAACCUUGUGUUUACAAGCACCGAAAGCUCAUCAAAGAGCGAUCGGGUACCUUUUGUAGAAUGGUCCGGCGAGUGAAUGUAACCGGCGAGGUUAAGCACUUAAGGUGUGAAGCCGCAGCGAGAGCAAGUCUGAAUAGGGCGUAUGAAGUCGGUUGUAUUCGACCCGAAACCGGGUGACCUACCCAUGGUCAGGUUGAAGUAAAGGUAAAACUUUAUGGAGGACCGAACCGACUCCCGUUGAAAUGGUAGCGGAUGAACUGUGGGUAGCGGAGAAAUUCCAAUCGAACCCGGAGAUAGCUGGUUCUCUCCGAAAUAGCUUUAGGGCUAGCCUUGAAAUAGAUUACCGGAGGUAAAGCACUGAAUUGGCUAGGGGCCGAGAGGUUACUGAACCUUAUCAAACUAAGAAUGCCGGAUAAUCGUUUUUCAGGAGUCAGACAGUGGGAGAUAAGUUUCAUUGUCAAAAGGGAAACAGCCCAGACCCACAGCUAAGGUCCCCAAGUAUAGUUAAGUGGAAAAGGAUGUGGAAUUGCACAGACAACCAGGAUGUUGGCUUAGAAGCAGCCACUCAUUAAAAGAGUGCGUAAUAGCUCACUGGUCGAGUGACUCUGCGCCGAAAAUUUAACGGGGCUAAACUAUACACCGAAGCUUGGGAUACAUCUAAUGUAUGGUAGGAGAGCGUUCUGUAUGGGGCGAAGUCGUAGCGAAAGCGGCGGUGGACUGUACAGAAGUGAGAAUGCCGGAAUAAGUAGCGAGAAUUAAGUGAGAAUCUUAAUGGCCGAAAGUCUAAGGUUUUUGGAGGAAGGUUCGUCCGCUCCAAGUAAGUCGGGAGCUAAGGUCAGGCCGAAAGGCGUAGCCGAUGCACAUACGGUUGAUAUUCCGUAACCAUCUGUAAUUUAAGCAAAGGGACACUUCAAAAGGGUGUGACCCGGGCGUUGGUUGACCCGGGCGUAAGGGACCGAAAUUAGAGUAGGGAAGCACACUUGGCUGAAGGCGAGAAAAGCUUUGCGUAUAGAAACAGAUGCCCGUACCGCAAACCGACACAGGUGGACAGGAAGAGAAUUCUAAGGCCAGCGGGAGAAGGGUAGUUAAGGAACUCGGCAAAUUGACUCCGUAACUUCGGAAUAAGGAGUGCUCGAAAGAGCCGCAGAGAAUAGGCCCAGGCGACUGUUUAGCAAAAACACAGGUCUCUGCCAAAUCGAAAGAUGAAGUAUAGGGGCUGACACCUGCCCGGUGCCGGAAGGUUAAGAGGAGGAGUGAGAGCUCCGAAUUGAAGCCCCGGUAAACGGCGGCCGUAACUAUAACGGUCCUAAGGUAGCGAAAUUCCUUGUCGGGUAAGUUCCG
This 1886-nucleotide ribosomal RNA is filed under the name human gut metagenome. RNAcentral's name for it is "bacterial LSU rRNA". It matches the Rfam family "Bacterial large subunit ribosomal RNA", at positions 3 to 1985 of the family's 2925-position model. The record is from RNAcentral.